CGGACUGUAGUCUGCAACCCGACUACACGAAGCUGGAAUCGCUAGUAAUCGCGGAUCAGAAUGCCGCGGUGAAUACGUUCCCGGGUCUUGUACACACCGCCCGUCACACCAUGGGAGUCAGUAACGCCCGAAGUCAGUGACCUAACCGAAAGGGAGGAGCUGCCGAAGGCGGGACGGAUGACUGGGGUGAAGUCGUAACAAGGUACC
This 207-nucleotide ribosomal RNA is filed under the name uncultured bacterium. RNAcentral's name for it is "partial 16S ribosomal RNA". It matches the Rfam family "Bacterial small subunit ribosomal RNA", at positions 1294 to 1500 of the family's 1533-position model. The record is from RNAcentral.